CUGGAGCCUCCCUCACACUCGUUGGUGGUCCAGCUGGGAUGCAUUCACCUCCUUCCUCCCUGCUGGUCAGAGCAUCUAUCUGGCAACUGGCACAGCCAUGGUUGGUCCUCAAGGAACACGUCCAGUUGUAUGUGAUGCACUGACAGAAGUAACCAUAAGGACGCAGAUGCUGCUGCUUUCUGAGGCUCAGCCAACAGUCACCGUGAGGCUGAGUGGCAGGGACCAGAACCCUGAAGCUCAGGGUAUUUCUCACUAUAUACAUCCCCCUCCUCCCAGCUUUCCAAACCCUCACCAUCUGACUUUGUACUCUUUCAAAUGAAACAGGUUGCAUAUUGCCAAGCUGACGGAGGUUCCCUACCCAGACUAAUAGAGCCCGCCACACAGAAGUAAUUUCUUGUUAAACGUCUAUCCAGUGAAAUCCAGCCACUGCACACAGCAGGCCCGCCUGUGCUGGUCCUGCCAUCCUGCCACCGAGGCGCAAGGGAAUAAAGGAAAAUGCUUAGCAUUAAAUUUCAUGUAAAUCAGACUUUAUUUGCUCUGGUGGCAGGUUAUUACCUUCUGCAGGGAACGAGGGGAGAAACGGCUGCCGCUGGAGACAGAGUUCCCCCAGUGGGCUUCCGUAGCAGCCUGCAGCACACAUGCCUAACUCACCUGCUUUGUCCCUUCCUUCCUUCCUCUCCGCUAGCUUCUCUGUGAAUGGCCAGGGUCUACAGGCUCUUCUUGGCAUAGUAGCUCUGCCUACUCAGCCUUCCUGAUGCUUCAGAGAUGGUCACUAUUUAUGUGGGCUUCCCCACUAAGUCCGUUGGACACUGUUCACCUUGCUUUUGGGCUCAGUCUGUCUCCCACCAAGAACGUUCUAUAUAGCAAUAAACUCAUUCAGGCUCAGCUCA
RNAcentral lists this long non-coding RNA (890 nucleotides) under Mus pahari (shrew mouse). RNAcentral describes it as "predicted gene 10530 (MGP_PahariEiJ_G0012493.1)". The record is from RNAcentral. Lineage: Eukaryota; Metazoa; Chordata; Mammalia; Rodentia; Muridae.